GGACGAUGGAUGGCGUUGCCACCGGGAACGAACGCACGGCGUAUAAGCUGAAAGGCUACUUUGAAUUGGCCAAAGAAGAGAUCGCCAAAGCUGUUAGAGCUGAAGAAUGGGGCUUGGCUGAUGAAGCAAUUGCACAUUACCAUAAUUCUCAAAAGAUACUCGCCGAAGGCAUUUCUACUCCGGUUCCUUCCUAUAUAGCUUCUAGUGAACGAGAAAGUGAAAUCAUAUCGUCAAAAGAUAUCAAAAUGGCAGUCUCAAGUUUCAGACAGACUUCA
This 275-nucleotide unclassified non-coding RNA is filed under the name Hevea brasiliensis (rubber tree). The record is from RNAcentral. Lineage: Eukaryota; Viridiplantae; Streptophyta; Magnoliopsida; Malpighiales; Euphorbiaceae.